RNAcentral lists this ribosomal RNA (496 nucleotides) under uncultured bacterium. Its description in RNAcentral is "partial 16S ribosomal RNA". It matches the Rfam family "Bacterial small subunit ribosomal RNA", at positions 29 to 507 of the family's 1533-position model. The record is from RNAcentral.
AUGCACGCUGGCGGCGUGCCUAAUACAUGCCAGUCGCGCGAACAGACGAGGAGCUUGCUCCUCUGACGUUAGCGGCGGCCGGGUGAGUAACACGUGGAUAACCUACCUAUAAGACUGGGAUAACUUCGGGAAACCGGAGCUAAUACCGGAUAAUAUAUUGAACCGCAUGGUUCAAUAGUGAAAGACGGUUUUGCUGUCACUUAUAGAUGGAUCCGCGCCGCAUUAGCUAGUUGGUAAGGUAACGGCUUACCAAGGCAACGAUGCGUAGCCGACCUGAGAGGGUGAUCGGCCACACUGGAACUGAGACACGGUCCAGACUCCUACGGGAGGCAGCAGUAGGGAAUCUUCCGCAAUGGGCGAAAGCCUGACGGAGCAACGCCGCGUGAGUGAUGAAGGUCUUCGGAUCGUAAAACUCUGUUAUUAGGGAAGAACAAAUGUGUAAGUAACUAUGCACGUCUUGACGGUACCUAAUCAGAAAGCCACGGCUAACUACGUG